GCACCUUCCAGGUAGGACGCUCCCCUCAGAUUCUGGUGAUGCUUGGCAGUGGCUGGCGAACGAUGUGGACGAUUAGCUAGCUACGUGAUUGGUGCGUAGAUUUAGAUCUCACUGAGUGAAGCUCUCAUCUUCUGAGUUACUGCUGUAGAAGUCCAGCCGACCUCCUUAGUGAUCGUCCUUUACCUUGUUCACUCUUCAGGGGACGUCAUCAUUUCCCUCAAAGAUCUGAUGUGAGAAUGAAAUGAGAUGAUACAAGGAAGAGGAGCUGCCGGUCCUGGCCCAGAAAAGGCACCAAGUUAAGGAGAGACUGCCAAAACACAGAGCUGAUUUGCCCACGAGUUUACAGCAUGGCAAUGACAUUAUAUUUUCAGAGAAGUUUUUGGCUCCCAGCGAUAUUGAGAGGGGGGCACAGAGGCUGCUCACACAAUCCUCCUGCCUCCAGGCAGGCACAGCCUCCACCAUCAUCAGCAUCCCCCGCCAGAGUGGUCCAUUUGUGACAACCAAGGGGCCUCCGUCAACCAUCAUGAUCACAUCAAGUCCACAGUUUACAUCGGGCUCCGUUCUUGGAGUUAUACAUUCCAUGGGUUUGGACAAAUGUAUGAUGACCCAUAUACAUCGUCACGGUAUCAAUCGGAAUAGUUUCACUGCCAUAAAAAUCCUCUGUGUCCUACCUCUUCAUCUCCCCACCCCCCUUCUACCCCAACUCCUGACAACUCCUGAUCUUUUUUUCUGUCUCCACAGUUGUGCCUUUUCUAGAAUGUCAUAUAGUUGGAAUCAUACAGUAGGUAGUCUUUUCAUAUCGGCUUCUUUCACUUGGUAAUAUGCGUUUAAGUUUCCUUCAUGUAUUUUCAUGGCUUGGUAGAUCAUAUCUCUUUCGUGUUGAAGAGUAUUUCAUUGUAUGGAUGCACCACGGUUUAUUUCUCCACUCACUUACUGCAGGACAUCUUGGUGGCUUCCAAGUUUUUGCAGUUAUGAAUAAAGCUGCUAUAAACAUCUGU
Molecule: long non-coding RNA, 998 nt
Organism: Physeter macrocephalus (sperm whale)
Lineage: Eukaryota; Metazoa; Chordata; Mammalia; Artiodactyla; Physeteridae
Exons: 4
Source: RefSeq, a predicted model, not a curated record